CGGGUGAGUAACGCGUAGGCAACCUACCCUUUAGUGUGGAAUAACCCCGGGAAACCGGAGCUAAUACCGCAUAAUAUCCCUGGUACCGCAUGGUACCGGGAUCAAAGCCUUAGGGCGCUAUUGGAUGGGCCUGCGUCGGAUUAGGUAGUUGGUGAGGUAACAGCUCACCAAGCCAACGAUCCGUAGCUGGUCUGAGAGGAUGAUCAGCCACACUGGCACUGAGACACGGGCCAG
This 234-nucleotide ribosomal RNA is filed under the name uncultured bacterium. RNAcentral's name for it is "partial 16S ribosomal RNA". It matches the Rfam family "Bacterial small subunit ribosomal RNA", at positions 103 to 334 of the family's 1533-position model. The record is from RNAcentral.